Molecule: ribosomal RNA, 524 nt
Filed under: uncultured Hanseniaspora
Lineage: Eukaryota; Fungi; Ascomycota; Saccharomycetes; Saccharomycodales; Saccharomycodaceae
Description: eukaryotic LSU rRNA
Rfam family: Eukaryotic large subunit ribosomal RNA
Source: RNAcentral
AAACCAACUGGGAUUACCUUAGUAACGGCGAGUGAAGCGGUAAAAGCUCAAAUUUGAAAUCUGGUACUUUCAGUGCCCGAGUUGUAAUUUGUAGAAUUUGUCUUUGAUUAGGUCCUUGUCUAUGUUCCUUGGAACGGGACGUCAUAGAGGGUGAGAAUCCCGUUUGGCGAGGAUACCUUUUCUCUGUAAGACUUUUUCGAAGAGUCGAGUUGUUUGGGAAUGCAGCUCAAAGUGGGUGGUAAAUUCCAUCUAAAGCUAAAUAUUGGCGAGAGACCGAUAGCGAACAAGUACAGUGAUGGAAAGAUGAAAAGAACUUUGAAAAGAGAGUGAAAAAGUACGUGAAAUUGUUGAAAGGGAGGCAUUUGAUCAGACAUGGUGUUUUUGCAUGCACUCGCCUCUCGUGGGCUUGGGCCUCUCAAAAAUUUCACUGGGCCAACAUCAAUUCUGGCAGCAGGAUAAAUCAUUAAGAAUGUAGCUACUUCGGUAGUGUUAUAGCUUUUUGGAAUACUGUUAGCCGGGAUUGA